GGGUCCGUAGCUCAGUUGGGAGAGCGUAGCAUUCGCAUUGCUGAGGUCGUGAGUUCGAAUCUCAUCGGAUCCA
RNAcentral lists this transfer RNA (73 nucleotides) under Chlorobiota bacterium. RNAcentral describes it as "tRNA-Ala". It matches the Rfam family "tRNA". Rfam says of the family: Transfer RNA (tRNA) molecules are approximately 80 nucleotides in length. Their secondary structure includes four short double-helical elements and three loops (D, anti-codon, and T loops). Lineage: Bacteria; Pseudomonadati; Chlorobiota. The record is from RNAcentral.